Non-coding RNA from Gossypium hirsutum (cotton), 145 nucleotides. NCBI's taxonomy places the organism in Eukaryota, Viridiplantae, Streptophyta, Magnoliopsida, Malvales, Malvaceae. The record is from Rfam.
UGUUAAAAAAUUCAUCCAUUUCUACUACUAAAAACAAACAUAACUAUCAGUAUAACCAAACAAUUUUACGUGGUAUGCCACAUGUACCUCAUUAUAAUGUACAAGGAUCAAUUUUUAACAAUAAAAAUGGCUAAAAUUUUUAAUA